Molecule: ribosomal RNA, 355 nt
Filed under: uncultured bacterium
Lineage: Bacteria
Description: bacterial SSU rRNA
Rfam family: Bacterial small subunit ribosomal RNA
Source: RNAcentral
GUAGGGAGCAAGCGUUGUCCGGAUUUACUGGGUGUAAAGGGUGCGUAGGCGGCUAGGCAAGUCAGACGUGAAAACCAUGGGCUCAACCUGUGGACUGCGUUUGAAACUGUUUAGCUUGAGUGAAGUAGAGGUAGGCGGAAUUCCCGGUGUAGCGGUGAAAUGCGUAGAGAUCGGGAGGAACACCAGUGGCGAAGGCGGCCUACUGGGCUUUAACUGACGCUGAGGCACGAAAGCAUGGGUAGCAAACAGGAUUAGAUACCCUGGUAGUCCAUGCCGUAAACGAUGAUUACUAGGUGUGGGGGGUCUGACCCCCUCCGUGCCGGAGUUAACACAAUAAGUAAUCCACCUGGGGAGU